GGUGGCGGACGGGUGAGUAACGCGUGGGUAACCUGCCGUAUACAGGGGGAUAACAGUUAGAAAUGACUGCUAAUACCGCAUAAGCGCACAGUGAGGCAUCUCACGGUAGUGAAAAAACUCCGGUGGUAUACGAUGGACCCGCGUCUGAUUAGCCAGUUGGCAGGGUAACGGCCUACCAAAGCGACGAUCAGUAGCCGGCCUGAGAGGGUGAACGGCCACAUUGGGACUGAGACACGGCCCAAACUCCUACGGGAGGCAGCAGUGGGGAAUAUUGCACAAUGGGGGAAACCCUGAUGCAAGCGACGCCGCGUGAGUGAAGAAGCAUUUCGGUGCGUAAAGCUCUAUCAGCAGGGAAGAAAAUGACGGUACCUGACUAAGAAGCCCCGGCUAACUACGUGCCAGCAGCGGC
RNAcentral lists this ribosomal RNA (409 nucleotides) under uncultured bacterium. Its description in RNAcentral is "bacterial SSU rRNA". It matches the Rfam family "Bacterial small subunit ribosomal RNA", at positions 94 to 518 of the family's 1533-position model. The record is from RNAcentral.